UACGGAGGGUGCAAACGUUUGCUCGGAAUUAUUGGGCGUAAAGCGCACGUAGGUGGUCUGUUAAGUCGGAUGUGAAAGCCCCAGGCUCAACUUGGGAAGUGCAUUCGAAACUGGCAGGCUUGAGUAUGGAAGAGGGUCGCGGAAUUCCCGGUGUAGAGGUGAAAUUCGUAGAUAUCGGGAGGAACACCAGUGGCGAAGGCGGCGACC
RNAcentral lists this ribosomal RNA (207 nucleotides) under uncultured bacterium. RNAcentral describes it as "partial 16S ribosomal RNA". It matches the Rfam family "Bacterial small subunit ribosomal RNA", at positions 524 to 729 of the family's 1533-position model. The record is from RNAcentral.